RNAcentral lists this ribosomal RNA (492 nucleotides) under uncultured Glomus. RNAcentral describes it as "SSU rRNA". It matches the Rfam family "Eukaryotic small subunit ribosomal RNA", at positions 569 to 1064 of the family's 1831-position model. Lineage: Eukaryota; Fungi; Glomeromycota; Glomeromycetes; Glomerales; Glomeraceae. The record is from RNAcentral.
CGCAGCCGCGGUAAUUCCAGCUCCAAUGGCGUAUAUUAAAGUUGUUGCAGUUAAAAAGCUCGUAGUUGAAUUUCGGGAUCGACGGGUCGGUCGCGCCUCUGGUGUGUACUGGCCCUGUCGGUUUCUCCCUUCUGACGAACCACGAUGUCAUUAAUUUGGUGUCGUGGGAAAUCAGGACUGUUACUUUGAAAAAAUUAGAGUGUUUAAAGCAGGCAUUCGCUUGAAUACAUUUAGCAUGGAAUAAUGAAAUAGGACGUUUGAUCUUAUUUUGUUGGUUUCUAAGAUCGACGUAAUGAUUAAUAGGGAUAGUUGGGGGCAUUAGUAUUCAAUCGUCAGAGGUGAAAUUCUUGGAUUUAUUGAAGACUAACUACUGCGAAAGCAUUCGCCAAGGAUGUUUUCAUUAAUCAAGAACGAAAGUUAGGGGAUCGAAGACGAUCAGAUACCGUCGUAGUCUUAACCAUAAACUAUGCCGACUAGGGAUCGGAUGAUGUU